RNAcentral lists this ribosomal RNA (358 nucleotides) under Limnobacter sp. RNAcentral's name for it is "bacterial SSU rRNA". It matches the Rfam family "Bacterial small subunit ribosomal RNA", at positions 1 to 356 of the family's 1533-position model. The record is from RNAcentral. Lineage: Bacteria; Pseudomonadati; Pseudomonadota; Betaproteobacteria; Burkholderiales; Burkholderiaceae.
AGAUCGAACUAAAGAGUUUGAUCCUGGCUCAGAUUGAACGCUGGCGGCAUGCCUUACACAUGCAAGUCGAACGGCAGCACGGGGGCAACCCUGGUGGCGAGUGGCGAACGGGUGAGUAAUGCAUCGGAACGUACCUGGUAGUGGGGGAUAGCUCGGCGAAAGCCGGAUUAAUACCGCAUACGCACUACGGUGGAAAGCGGGGGACCGAAAGGCCUCGCGCUAUCGGAGCGGCCGAUGUCGGAUUAGCUUGUUGGUGGGGUAAUGGCUCACCAAGGCUACGAUCCGUAACUGGUCUGAGAGGACGACCAGUCACACUGGGACUGAGACACGGCCCAGACUCCUACGGGAGGCAGCAGUG